Molecule: ribosomal RNA, 369 nt
Filed under: uncultured Nitrososphaerota archaeon
Lineage: Archaea; Thermoproteati; Nitrososphaerota
Description: bacterial SSU rRNA
Rfam family: Archaeal small subunit ribosomal RNA
Source: RNAcentral
GCAUCCGUAGCCGGCUGCUCAAGUUUCCGGUUAAAUCCACACGCUUAACGUAUGGGCUGCCGGAAAUACUGUUCAGCUAGGGAGUGGGAGAGGUAGACGGUACUCGAUAGGAAGGGGUAAAAUCCUUUGAUCUAUUGAUGACCACCUGUGGCGAAGGCGGUCUACCGGAACACGUUCGACGGUGAGGGAUGAAAGCUGGGGGAGCAAACCGGAUUAGAUACCCGGGUAGUCCCAGCUGUAAACGAUGCAGACUCGGUGAUGCAUUGGCUUAUGGCCAGUGCAGUGCCGCAGGGAAGCCGUUAAGUUUGCCGCCUGGGAAGUACGUACGCAAGUAUGAAACUUAAAGGAAUUGGCGGGGGAGCACAAGCC